GGGGGGAAAAGGUGGGGAAGAGAAACCCGGGCGCUGAUGAGCGAGACGGGGCGGUGCCCCUUUAGACCCGGGAACGUAUUCACCGCGACAUGGCUGAUCCGCGAUUACUAGCGAUUCCGACUUCAUGGAGUCGAGUUGCAGAAUCCAAUCCGGACUACGAUACACUUUCUGGGAUUAGCUCCCCCUCGCGGGUUGGCGGCCCUCUGUAUGUACCAUUGUAUGACGUGUGAAGCCCUGCCCGUAAGGGCCAUUAGGACUUGACGUCAUCCCCACCUUCCUCCGGUUUGUCACCGGCAGUGUCAUUAGAGUGCCCUUUCGAAGCAACUAAUGACAAGGGUUGCGCUCGUUGCGGGACUUAACCCAACAUCUCAUUUACACUAGCUGAGAACAGCCAUGCAGCACCUGUGCGCCGGUUCUCUUUCGAGCACUCCCAAAUCUCUUCA
This 443-nucleotide ribosomal RNA is filed under the name Herbaspirillum sp. 2-3-I. RNAcentral describes it as "partial 16S ribosomal RNA". The record is from RNAcentral. Lineage: Bacteria; Pseudomonadati; Pseudomonadota; Betaproteobacteria; Burkholderiales; Oxalobacteraceae.